GAUGAAGAACGUAGUGAAAUGCGAUAAGUAAUGUGAAUUGCAGAAUUCAGUGAAUCAUCGAAUCUUUGAACGCUCAUUGCGCCCCCUGGUAUUCCGGGGGGCAUGCCUGUCCGAGCGUCAUUACAACCCUCAAGCUCAGCUUGGUGUUGGGCCCCGCCGCCCCGGCGGGCCCUAAAGUCAGUGGCGGUGCCGUCCGGCUCCGAGCGUAGUAAUUCUUCUCGCUCUGGAGGUCCGGUCGUGUGCUCGCCAGCAACCCCCAAUUUUUUUCAGGUUGACCUCGGAUCAGGUAGGGAUACCCGCUGAACUUAAGCAUAUCAAUAAGCGGAGGA
Molecule: unclassified non-coding RNA, 329 nt
Filed under: soil metagenome
Description: partial contains 5.8S ribosomal RNA, internal transcribed spacer 2, and large subunit ribosomal RNA
Rfam family: 5.8S ribosomal RNA (bases 1-120)
Source: RNAcentral